UCAGUGGCUCUAUUAAGAGCUACAAAAUUUAAACAGAAGCUUUUCU
Molecule: non-coding RNA, 46 nt
Organism: Egretta garzetta (little egret)
Lineage: Eukaryota; Metazoa; Chordata; Aves; Pelecaniformes; Ardeidae
Source: Rfam